RNAcentral lists this ribosomal RNA (253 nucleotides) under uncultured bacterium. Its description in RNAcentral is "partial 16S ribosomal RNA". It matches the Rfam family "Bacterial small subunit ribosomal RNA", at positions 524 to 776 of the family's 1533-position model. The record is from RNAcentral.
UACGGGGGGGGCAAGCGUUGUUCGGAAUUACUGGGCGUAAAGGGCUCGUAGGCGGCCAAUUAAGUCAGACGUGAAAUCCCCAGGCUCAACCUGGGAACUGCGUCUGAUACUGGAUGGCUUGAAUCCGGGAGAGGGAUGUGGAAUUCCAGGUGUAGCGGUGAAAUGCGUAGAUAUCUGGAGGAACACCGGUGGCGAAGGCGGCAUCCUGGACCGGUAUUGACGCUGAGGAGCGAAAGCGUGGGGAGCGAACAGG